RNAcentral lists this ribosomal RNA (253 nucleotides) under uncultured bacterium. RNAcentral describes it as "partial 16S ribosomal RNA". It matches the Rfam family "Bacterial small subunit ribosomal RNA", at positions 524 to 776 of the family's 1533-position model. The record is from RNAcentral.
UACAGAGGGUGCGAGCGUUGUCCGGAAUCACUGGGCGUAAAGGGCGCGUAGGCGGCUGGGUAAGCGUGUGGUGAAAGUCCGGGGCUCAACCCCGGAUCGGCCAUGCGAACUGUCCAGCUGGAGCACGGUAGAGGCACAUGGAAUUCCGGGUGUAGCGGUGGAAUGCGUAGAGAUCGGGAGGAACACCAGUGGCGAAGGCGGCCUUAUGGACCAGUACUGACGCUGAGGCACGAAAGCGUGGGGAGCAAACAGG